AGCGCGGGCGGGAAACUAAGCGGAUCUUAAAAGUGCGGGGCUCAACCCCGUGAUGGGGUCCGAACUGGUUUUCUUGAGUGCAGGAGAGGAAAGCGGAAUUCCCAGUGUAGCGGUGAAAUGCGUAGAUAUUGGGAAGAACACCAGUGGCGAAGGCGGCUUUCUGGACUGUAACUGACGCUGAGGCUCGAAAGCUAGGGUAGCGAACG
Molecule: ribosomal RNA, 206 nt
Filed under: uncultured bacterium
Lineage: Bacteria
Description: partial 16S ribosomal RNA
Rfam family: Bacterial small subunit ribosomal RNA
Source: RNAcentral